This 253-nucleotide ribosomal RNA is filed under the name uncultured bacterium. RNAcentral describes it as "partial 16S ribosomal RNA". It matches the Rfam family "Bacterial small subunit ribosomal RNA", at positions 524 to 776 of the family's 1533-position model. The record is from RNAcentral.
UACGUAGGGGGCAAGCGUUGUCCGGAAUCAUUGGGCGUAAAGAGCGCGUAGGCGGCCAGAUAAGUCCGGUGUGAAAGUCACAGGCUCAACCUGUGAAUGCCGCUGGAAACUGUCUGGCUAGAGUCCGGGAGGGGCGAGUGGAAUUCCUGGUGUAGCGGUGAAAUGCGCAGAUAUCAGGAGGAACACCGGUGGUGUAGACGGCUUACUGGACCACGAUUGACACUGAGGCACGAAAGCGUGGGUAGCAAACAGG